This 422-nucleotide ribosomal RNA is filed under the name uncultured bacterium. Its description in RNAcentral is "bacterial SSU rRNA". It matches the Rfam family "Bacterial small subunit ribosomal RNA", at positions 794 to 1218 of the family's 1533-position model. The record is from RNAcentral.
UCCACGCCGUAAACGAUGAGUGCUAGGUGUCGGGACGUCAAGUCUCGGUGCCGCAGCUAACGCAAUAAGCACUCCACCUGGGGAGUACGAUCGCAAGAUUGAAACUCAAAGGAAUUGACGGGGGCCCGCACAAGCGGUGGAGCAUGUGGUUUAAUUCGAAGCAACGCGAAGAACCUUACCAGGUCUUGACAUCCCCUUGACCGGUCUAUAACUAGACCUUCUCUUCGGAGCAAGGGAGACAGGUGGUGCAUGGUUGUCGUCAGCUCGUGUCGUGAGAUGUUGGGUUAAGUCCCGCAACGAGCGCAACCCUUAUCUUUAGUAGCCAGCAUUUCGGAUGGGGACUCUAGAGAGACUGCCGGGGAUAACUCGGAGGAAGGUGGGGAUGACGUCAAAUCAUCAUGCCCCUUAUGAUCUGGGCUACA